This is a small nuclear RNA of Mastomys coucha (southern multimammate mouse), 102 nucleotides long. The record is from RefSeq and is a predicted model, not a curated record. NCBI's taxonomy places the organism in Eukaryota, Metazoa, Chordata, Mammalia, Rodentia, Muridae.
GCAUGCUUUGGCAAUACAUACAUUAAAAUUGGAAUGAUAUAGAGAUUAUCUUGGCCCCUGAGUGAAGAUGACAUACACAUUUGAGAAGUGCAAAAAUAAAUA